CAUCCUCAAAACCUUCUUGGUUUCUUGACCAGGAAGGCUUUUGGACUUUGGAGGCUUUUGCUGGCCUUCCUUUGUUGGAGCCAGCUCCUCUGAAAUGAAUUAGUGGGGUCUGCUUUGCCGAUCCUUGACGUGAUAAGAUGUUUUCUACGUCUUGGGUUUCGCACUGUUCCCCGCUUCUAACUGUCUCAUAGAAGACAAUGGUCAAGUGAUCGCCACUUGACCCACAAA
Molecule: unclassified non-coding RNA, 228 nt
Filed under: uncultured Russula
Lineage: Eukaryota; Fungi; Basidiomycota; Agaricomycetes; Russulales; Russulaceae
Description: sequence contains ITS2
Source: RNAcentral